UCAAGUUUCCAUUUCACAAGUUUUCAAAUCACAUAGUUAACCAAUAUUUCAAAUAGAACAAACACAUAAAAUUCAUCAAAUAUACCACUAAAUAAAUUUAUUACAAUCUUUACAACACAGAUACACGUCUUCACACUUGGCUUCACAGUUCACAGCACCACGCUUGCUUCACACUUCACACUUCACACUUGAGCUUCUGUAAAAAAGGAACCAACACAAUUUUAAGUCUGCAAUACAACAAUUGAUACAAGGAUAAAAACAAAAUCAUGUAAUACACUCAAAUGUGAAGGCAGCAUGGAACUAGUAAUACGACAACAUGCAGAAAACACUACAAUGUAAUAUUGUUGUAAGUUCAUAUCAGCGCAAAAUCAGCACUGCAUAAUGCAGCACAUAACAAUUGGUACUAAGUUGAUCAAGAACAACAGGUGAUGCUAAUAGCACCCAUACUCUCAAAUUCAGUACUAAGUUGCUACAUGAAAGCAGAGCAGAGAACAAGAAACAAAGAUGUUACAUGUCACAGUUGCUUGCAAUGUAAAACUUCAAUUAAACACACGCUCACACACAGAAUGCAUACCGAAGCUGAGAGUUUGGAACACACCUAAGCCGUUGUUGAAAUACACGAUCAGAAUAAUCACUUAAGCAAACAAACAAACAA
RNAcentral lists this long non-coding RNA (655 nucleotides) under Triticum aestivum (bread wheat). RNAcentral describes it as "long non-coding RNA (TAES_LNC000589)". Lineage: Eukaryota; Viridiplantae; Streptophyta; Magnoliopsida; Poales; Poaceae. The record is from RNAcentral.